Molecule: small RNA, 29 nt
Filed under: Bombyx mori (domestic silkworm)
Lineage: Eukaryota; Metazoa; Arthropoda; Insecta; Lepidoptera; Bombycidae
Description: ovarian small RNA-14978
Source: RNAcentral
CUUAUACGGGGCACCCGUGUGGGGCCAGU